This 2926-nucleotide ribosomal RNA is filed under the name Salmonella enterica. RNAcentral describes it as "bacterial LSU rRNA". It matches the Rfam family "Bacterial large subunit ribosomal RNA". Lineage: Bacteria; Pseudomonadati; Pseudomonadota; Gammaproteobacteria; Enterobacterales; Enterobacteriaceae. RNAcentral also lists the same sequence under 1 other name. The record is from RNAcentral.
GGGUUGUGAGGUUAAGCGACUAAGCGUACACGGUGGAUGCCCUGGCAGUCAGAGGCGAUGAAGGGCGUGCUAAUCUGCGAUAAGCGCCGGUAAGGUGAUAUGAACCGUUAUAACCGGCGAUACCCGAAUGGGGAAACCCAGUGUGACUCGUCACACUAUCAUUAACUGAAUCCAUAGGUUAAUGAGGCGAACCGGGGGAACUGAAACAUCUAAGUACCCCGAGGAAAAGAAAUCAACCGAGAUUCCCCCAGUAGCGGCGAGCGAACGGGGAGGAGCCCAGAGCCUGAAUCAGCAUGUGUGUUAGUGGAAGCGUCUGGAAAGGCGCGCGAUACAGGGUGACAGCCCCGUACACAAAAGCGCAUGUGCUGUGAGCUCGAUGAGUAGGGCGGGACACGUGGUAUCCUGUCUGAAUAUGGGGGGACCAUCCUCCAAGGCUAAAUACUCCUGACUGACCGAUAGUGAACCAGUACCGUGAGGGAAAGGCGAAAAGAACCCCGGCGAGGGGAGUGAAAAAGAACCUGAAACCGUGUACGUACAAGCAGUGGGAGCACCCUUUUGGGUGUGACUGCGUACCUUUUGUAUAAUGGGUCAGCGACUUAUAUUCUGUAGCAAGGUUAACCGAAUAGGGGAGCCGGAGGGAAACCGAGUCUUAAUUGGGCGUUAAGUUGCAGGGUAUAGACCCGAAACCCGGUGAUCUAGCCAUGGGCAGGUUGAAGGUUGGGUAACACUAACUGGAGGACCGAACCGACUAAUGUUGAAAAAUUAGCGGAUGACCUGUGGCUGGGGGUGAAAGGCCAAUCAAACCGGGAGAUAGCUGGUUCUCCCCGAAAGCUAUUUAGGUAGCGCCUCGUGAAUUCAUCUCCGGGGGUAGAGCACUGUUUCGGCUAGGGGGCCAUCCCGGCUUACCAACCCGAUGCAAACUGCGAAUACCGGAGAAUGUUAUCACGGGAGACACACGGCGGGUGCUAACGUCCGUCGUGAAGAGGGAAACAACCCAGACCGCCAGCUAAGGUCCCAAAGUCAUGGUUAAGUGGGAAACGAUGUGGGAAGGCCCAGACAGCCAGGAUGUUGGCUUAGAAGCAGCCAUCAUUUAAAGAAAGCGUAAUAGCUCACUGGUCGAGUCGGCCUGCGCGGAAGAUGUAACGGGGCUAAACCAUGCACCGAAGCUGCGGCAGCGACACUAUGUGUUGUUGGGUAGGGGAGCGUUCUGUAAGCCUGUGAAGGUGUGCUGUGAGGCAUGCUGGAGGUAUCAGAAGUGCGAAUGCUGACAUAAGUAACGAUAAAGCGGGUGAAAAGCCCGCUCGCCGGAAGACCAAGGGUUCCUGUCCAACGUUAAUCGGGGCAGGGUGAGUCGACCCCUAAGGCGAGGCCGAAAGGCGUAGUCGAUGGGAAACGGGUUAAUAUUCCCGUACUUGGUGUUACUGCGAAGGGGGGACGGAGAAGGCUAUGUUGGCCGGGCGACGGUUGUCCCGGUUUAAGCGUGUAGGUGUGUGUUCCAGGUAAAUCCGGUUCACUUUAACACUGAGGCGUGAUGACGAGGCACUACGGUGCUGAAGCAACAAAUGCCCUGCUUCCAGGAAAAGCCUCUAAGCAUCAGGUAACAUCAAAUCGUACCCCAAACCGACACAGGUGGUCAGGUAGAGAAUACCAAGGCGCUUGAGAGAACUCGGGUGAAGGAACUAGGCAAAAUGGUGCCGUAACUUCGGGAGAAGGCACGCUGACACGUAGGUGAAGUGAUUUACUCAUGGAGCUGAAGUCAGUCGAAGAUACCAGCUGGCUGCAACUGUUUAUUAAAAACACAGCACUGUGCAAACACGAAAGUGGACGUAUACGGUGUGACGCCUGCCCGGUGCCGGAAGGUUAAUUGAUGGGGUCAGCGCAAGCGAAGCUCCUGAUCGAAGCCCCGGUAAACGGCGGCCGUAACUAUAACGGUCCUAAGGUAGCGAAAUUCCUUGUCGGGUAAGUUCCGACCUGCACGAAUGGCGUAAUGAUGGCCAGGCUGUCUCCACCCGAGACUCAGUGAAAUUGAACUCGCUGUGAAGAUGCAGUGUACCCGCGGCAAGACGGAAAGACCCCGUGAACCUUUACUAUAGCUUGACACUGAACAUUGAGCCUUGAUGUGUAGGAUAGGUGGGAGGCUUUGAAGUGUGGACGCCAGUCUGCAUGGAGCCGACCUUGAAAUACCACCCUUUAAUGUUUGAUGUUCUAACGUGGACCCGUGAUCCGGGUUGCGGACAGUGUCUGGUGGGUAGUUUGACUGGGGCGGUCUCCUCCUAAAGAGUAACGGAGGAGCACGAAGGUUGGCUAAUCCUGGUCGGACAUCAGGAGGUUAGUGCAAUGGCAUAAGCCAGCUUGACUGCGAGCGUGACGGCGCGAGCAGGUGCGAAAGCAGGUCAUAGUGAUCCGGUGGUUCUGAAUGGAAGGGCCAUCGCUCAACGGAUAAAAGGUACUCCGGGGAUAACAGGCUGAUACCGCCCAAGAGUUCAUAUCGACGGCGGUGUUUGGCACCUCGAUGUCGGCUCAUCACAUCCUGGGGCUGAAGUAGGUCCCAAGGGUAUGGCUGUUCGCCAUUUAAAGUGGUACGCGAGCUGGGUUUAGAACGUCGUGAGACAGUUCGGUCCCUAUCUGCCGUGGGCGCUGGAGAACUGAGGGGGGCUGCUCCUAGUACGAGAGGACCGGAGUGGACGCAUCACUGGUGUUCGGGUUGUCAUGCCAAUGGCACUGCCCGGUAGCUAAAUGCGGAAGAGAUAAGUGCUGAAAGCAUCUAAGCACGAAACUUGCCCCGAGAUGAGUUCUCCCUGAGACUUUAAGUCUCCUGAAGGAACGUUGAAGACGACGACGUUGAUAGGCCGGGUGUGUAAGCGCAGCGAUGCGUUGAGCUAACCGGUACUAAUGAACCGUGAGGCUUAACCUUACAACGCCGAAG